AUGUCAAAUAGUCUUCCAGUUGAGAUUUACGGUUCCGAGUUAGAUUCUAAUUGCGAGAAGGAGGAACUUAACUCCGAUUGUGAUGGCGACUGCCUAAUAAGAAUGGAGAAUAGGGUUCUGAAAGAACGUAGUAAGUGGUUAACUUUGUUGACUCGCUCGUUAGAGGAAGUGAACGGUUGGCUCGAAGAGGGAAGAGAUGCGCCGGGUCUUUCUCUUUGA
Vicia faba (fava bean) is the source of this 219-nucleotide non-coding RNA. The record is from the annotation of a GenBank genome assembly. NCBI's taxonomy places the organism in Eukaryota, Viridiplantae, Streptophyta, Magnoliopsida, Fabales, Fabaceae.